CAGAGGCAUACCGGUUUGUCCAGGGGAAGGACUGGGGCUUUAAGAAAUUCAUCAGGAGAGACUUCUGCUGGAUGAGGCCAAUGGGCUGCUGCCUGAGGACAAGCUCACUCUCUUCUGUGAGGUGAGUGUGGUGCAGGACUCUGUGAACAUCUCAGGUCAGAACACUAUGAACAUGGUGAAGGUGCCAGACUGCAGGCUGGCCGAUGAGCUGGGAGGGCUGUGGGAACACUCCCGCUUCACUGACUGCUCCCUGUGUGUGGCGGGACAGGAGUUCCAGGCACACAAAGCCAUCCUGGCAGCCCGAUCGCCAGUGUUCAGUGCCAUGUUUGAGCAUGAGAUGGAGGAGAGUAAAAAGGUGAGUGUUGUUGACAGUGUUGUGACCU
This is a long non-coding RNA of Salvelinus sp. IW2-2015, 383 nucleotides long. RefSeq lists it as uncharacterized. The transcript has 3 exons. NCBI's taxonomy places the organism in Eukaryota, Metazoa, Chordata, Actinopteri, Salmoniformes, Salmonidae. The record is from RefSeq and is a predicted model, not a curated record.